Molecule: long non-coding RNA, 435 nt
Organism: Helianthus annuus (common sunflower)
Lineage: Eukaryota; Viridiplantae; Streptophyta; Magnoliopsida; Asterales; Asteraceae
Exons: 2
Source: RefSeq, a predicted model, not a curated record
AUGCCCGCUUCCUGCUCCUCCUCUCCCUCUCUCUCUCUCUCCGGCGAAUUUAGAUCUGGAUCUAGGGUUUUUCUCCAUCCGUUUCUACUACUCCAAUUCCUCAUGGAAAUCAUUGGAAUCAAACUCAAGUCUAGGUUUUGAACUUCACGGAGAGUUGAAGAUGAUGCAAGGUGUUGUUUUAAUUGGUGGUGGUUAGCAACGAUAGAGAUGGUGGUGGUCUGCGGCUUGUGGUGGUAAUGGUUAGCGUCAACAGAUUCUGGUGACCCAACCUAGGGUUUAGAGUUUCGACCAGAUUCUGGUAGCCCUAUCUAGGGUUCUGACCAUAACCCUAAUUCGGUGAAAGUUGUAGAUCUGGUCAGUAAGGGAAUGACAAAGAAUUUCGUGUUGUGUGGUACUGUAUCUCUCAUUUCACCAUUUUUAAAAAUUUUUAAGUUA